UACGUAGGGACCAAGCGUUGUUCGGAUUUACUGGGCGUAAAGGGCGCGUAGGCGGCGCGGUAAGUCACUUGUGAAAUCUCUGAGCUUAACUCAGAACGGCCAAGUGAUACUGCAGUGCUAGAGUGUGGAAGGGGCAAUCGGAAUUCUUGGUGUAGCGGUGAAAUGCGUAGAUAUCAAGAGGAACACCUGAGGUGAAGACGGGUUGCUGGGCCAACACUGACGCUGAUGUGCGAAAGCGUGGGGAGCAAACAGG
Molecule: ribosomal RNA, 253 nt
Filed under: uncultured bacterium
Lineage: Bacteria
Description: partial 16S ribosomal RNA
Rfam family: Bacterial small subunit ribosomal RNA
Source: RNAcentral